CUUGCACCAGCGAAUAGCUAGCUUUUUGCGUGGCGCCAACUUGUAAGAUGCUUCAGGAGAGGUCUCGAGUUCGCACCAGGCCCUUCUCUCCCGAUUGCUCAGUUUGGCUGGGCGGCCAGCUCUAGGAAGAGUCUUGGUGGUUCCAAACUUCUUCCGUUUAAGAAUGAUGGAGGCCACUGUGUUCUUGGGGAUCUUCAAUGCUGCAGAAAUGUUUUGGUACCCUUUCCCAGAUCUGUGCCACGACACAAUCCUAUCUUGGCGCUCUAUGGACAAUUCCUUCAACCUCAUGACUUGGUUUUUGCUCUGACAUGCACUGUCAACUGUGGGACCUUAUAUAGACAGGUGUGUGCCUUUCCAAAUCAUGUCCAAUCAAUUACAUUUACCAUAGGUGCACUCCAAGUUGUAGAAACAUCUCAAGGAUGAUCAAUGGAAACAGGAUGCACCUGAGCUCAAUUUCAAGUCUCAUAGCAAAGGGUUUGAAUACUUGUGUAAAUAAGGUACUUCUGUUUUUUAUUUGUAAUAAAUUUACAAACAUUUCUAAAAAUCAGUUUUUGCUUUGUCCUUAUGGAGUAUUGUGUGUAAAUUGAUGAG
Molecule: long non-coding RNA, 591 nt
Filed under: Salmo salar (Atlantic salmon)
Lineage: Eukaryota; Metazoa; Chordata; Actinopteri; Salmoniformes; Salmonidae
Description: lncRNA (ENSSSAG00000088543.1, ENSSSAG00000119044.1, ENSSSAG00020054492.1, ENSSSAG00075047390.1)
Source: RNAcentral